Non-coding RNA from Triticum aestivum (bread wheat), 133 nucleotides. NCBI's taxonomy places the organism in Eukaryota, Viridiplantae, Streptophyta, Magnoliopsida, Poales, Poaceae. The record is from Rfam.
UGCGUGCUGUCACUUCUAAAUUUUUUGUCUUAGAUUUGUCUAAAUACGGAUGUAUCUAAUUAUGUUUUAGUGUUAGAUACAUCCGUAUCUAGACAAAUCUAAGACAAGAAUUUUAGGACGGAGGGAGUACGAU